AGUGAACGCUGGCGGUAGGCCUAACACAUGCAAGUCGAACGGCAGCACAGUAAGAUCUUGCUCUUACGGGUGGCGAGUGGCGGACGGGUGAGGAAUACAUCGGAAUCUACUUUUUCGUGGGGGAUAACGUAGGGAAACUUACGCUAAUACCGCAUACGACCUACGGGUGAAAGCAUGGGAUCUUCGGACCUUGCGCGAUUGAAUGAGCCGAUGCCGGAUUAGCUAGUUGGCGGGUUAAAGGCCCACCAAGGCGACGAUCCGUAGCUGGUCUGAGAGGAUGAUCAGCCACACUGGAACUGAGACACGGUCCAGACUCCUACGGGAGGCAGCAGUGGGGAAUAUUGGACAAUGGGCGCAAGCCUGAUCCAGCCAUACCGCGUGGGUGAAGAAGGCCUUCGGGUUGUAAAGCCCUUUUGUUGGGAAAGAAAAGCAGCAGGUUAAUACCCCGCUGUUCUGACGGUACCCAAAGAAUAAGCACCGGCUAACUUCGUG
Molecule: ribosomal RNA, 492 nt
Filed under: uncultured bacterium
Lineage: Bacteria
Description: partial 16S ribosomal RNA
Rfam family: Bacterial small subunit ribosomal RNA
Source: RNAcentral